AGUAAAGAUUAAUUGCUAUUUUCUUAGCUUUUGUAAGAUUAGGUAGUUGGAAGUUUUAUAGACUAACAAGCCGAAGAUCUUUAGUUGGUCUGAGAGGAUGACCAGCCACGUUGGGACUGAAACAAUGCCCAUGCUUCCAUGGAGGGCAGCAGUGAGGAAUAUUGGACAAUGGGCGAAAGCUUGAUCCAGCAAUAUCGAGUGGGUGAUGAAGAUGUAUUUUGUAAAGCCAAGAAAUUAAGGAGGAUUAUGACGUGUACUUAAUGGAAAGUCCCGGCUAACUUCGUGCCAGCAGCCGCGGUAAUACGGAGGGGACAAGUGUUACUCAUAAUGACUGGGCGUAAAGGGUAUGUAGGCUGUUAAAAUAGUUGAGUUUAAAAUUUAACGUUAAUAGCGUUGAUGGGAAUUCAAAACUUUUUAGCUAGAGUGUAGCAGAGGAAAGUGGUAUCUUGCGUGGAAAGGUGAAAUUUUACGAUAUUCAGGAGACCAUCUAAGGCGAAGGCAACUUUCUGGGCUAUUUUACUGACGCUGAGAUACUGAAGCAUGGGUAGCGAAUCGGAUUAGAGACCCGAGUAGUCCAUGCCGUCAACGAUGAGUGUUACAUACUGAGG
RNAcentral lists this ribosomal RNA (608 nucleotides) under uncultured organism. RNAcentral's name for it is "bacterial SSU rRNA". It matches the Rfam family "Bacterial small subunit ribosomal RNA", at positions 200 to 828 of the family's 1533-position model. The record is from RNAcentral.